Molecule: small RNA, 1023 nt
Filed under: uncultured bacterium
Lineage: Bacteria
Description: bacterial SSU rRNA
Rfam family: Bacterial small subunit ribosomal RNA (bases 1-485)
Source: RNAcentral
UUGGCUGUCGUCAGCUCGUGUCGUGAGAUGUUGGGUUAAGUCCCGCAACGAGCGCAACCCUCAUCUUUAGUUGCCAUCAGUUCGGCUGGGCACUCUAGAGAAACUGCCUGGGAUGACCAGGAGGAAGGCGAGGAUGACGUCAAGUCCUCAUGGCCCUUAUGGGCUGGGCUACACACGUGCUACAAUGGCGGUGACAAAGGGACGCAAUAGGGCAACCUGGAGCAAAUCCCUAAAAACCGUCUCAGUUCGGAUUGUUCUCUGCAACUCGAGAGCAUGAAGUUGGAAUCGCUAGUAAUCGUAGAUCAGCAUGCUACGGUGAAUACGUUCCCGGGCCUUGUACACACCGCCCGUCACACCAUGGGAGUUGGUUUUACCCGAAGGCGAUGUGCUAACUUCGGAGGCAGUCGACCACGGUAAGGUCAGCGACUGGGGUGAAGUCGUAACAAGGUAGCCGUAGGGGAACCUGUGGCUGGAUCACCUCCUUUCUAAGGAUGACUUGAUUUCAAUUUAUUUGUAUCAAGUUGUUAAUAGACAUAAUACACCGUCGUCUAUAAAUCCCUUUUUAGAGUUAUUAGGAUCCCUAAUCUAAUUAGAUUAGUGUAGGGGCUCGUAGCUCAGGCGGUUAGAGCGCACGCCUGAUAAGCGUGAGGUCGGAAGUUCAAGUCUUCCCGGGCCCACCAUAGUGGCAUGUUUUUUGCUGUUUAAUAUUAGGGGGUGUAGCUCAGUUGGGAGAGCGCCUGCUUUGCAAGCAGGAGGUCAUCGGUUCGAUCCCGUUCACCUCCACCAAGCCUAAUAAUAUAUUCAAUUGUUGUUUGAUAAAGUUAACUAAACCAUCACACAGAGAAUUCUUAUCAAGUCAGAAAAGAAAGAUUUAUUUCUGUACAUAUGAUAAUUCAAGCGAUAAAAGUGCAAUUAGUGGAUGCCUUGGCAUCAAGAGGCGAUGAAGGACGUGACACACUGCGAUAAGCCCUGGGGAGUUGUGAAUAAACUUUGAUCCGGGGAUUUCCGAAUGGGGAAACCCGG